RNAcentral lists this transfer RNA (69 nucleotides) under Ovis aries (sheep). It matches the Rfam family "tRNA". From Rfam's summary of the family: Transfer RNA (tRNA) molecules are approximately 80 nucleotides in length. Their secondary structure includes four short double-helical elements and three loops (D, anti-codon, and T loops). Lineage: Eukaryota; Metazoa; Chordata; Mammalia; Artiodactyla; Bovidae. The record is from Rfam by way of RNAcentral.
CCUGGUAGAUCAGACAGUAAAGAAUCUGCCUGCAAUGCAGGAGACCUGGGUUCAAUCCCUAUAUCGGGA